RNAcentral lists this long non-coding RNA (1439 nucleotides) under Trifolium pratense (red clover). Its description in RNAcentral is "long non-coding RNA (TPRA_LNC005847)". The record is from RNAcentral. Lineage: Eukaryota; Viridiplantae; Streptophyta; Magnoliopsida; Fabales; Fabaceae.
GAAUAGUGAGCAUAAUACAAUUAGUACCUCAUGGAUAAAACAAAUUUCUUAAUUUCUUGUACAUGAAUAUUUACAGUGAGCAGGACACGAAUAGUACCUCUUGGAUAACCCAAGUCAAGCAUAUUAAAGUAAUUUAAUAUUAAAAUGGUAAGUGUAAAAAACAUCAAAGUCAUCUAGAAAACAAUCCAACAACGAUAAACUUAUUUAACUGUGAUUACCUCUCAAUCUCAACGGUGAUUCAGGUUGUGCCACUGAAGACCAUUUUCACCCUGGAACCUGCAUAAAACAUCUUGCAGCAUCACACACCAUAUGUAAAUUCUCCUUGAAUCAAAAUAAUUCACAUCAUAUAGUAAGCCUCUACACAGCACAUAAGCCGAACCUGCAUAAUCAACUUUGGUUAAUUGUCUAUAUCGACAUUUGCAUUUAACCUCUCUACACCACACAAAUCUAACUGAAAUGCUCAUGAUAAAAACUUUUCACAUUACCCUAAGAUAACACCAAAUUAGGCUGCAUUACACUUAGAACAACCUUACACUUUCUUGAUCCCCAAUUUAAUUUUUCAAUGAUAUCAUACUAUAACCAAAAACAGUCAUUAGGAAAUUCUAUUUGAAGCACCAGAUUGUCCUGGUCUUGCCAAUAAGGGUAAUAAUACCAACACUGUCAAAUCCUUCAUAAUUAUCAUGCAAAUUAGCAUUCUUUAUCAUUCAUAAUUCAAACAAUUUAUAAUAUGUCUGCAAACCAAUACCAACACUGUUACAAAUAUGAACUCAAUCAUCAAUUACAUCCACAAUACCAUUCCAUGCCUAAUAAACAUAUAUGACCAAUCACCAAAAUCAAAAGCUCAACUCUAGUGAUUUCACAAAUAGGGGCUUGGUCAUUUCUUACAUUUACGGUUGUAAAAGGCUUAAAAUAAAGGAACAUCACCACAAUAUCAGCAUGUUACCUCAUUUGUCUUGGUUAUCAUUGCUGCUUCAAUAUUCAAUCUUCUUUGCCUCCUCCUUAAAUUCAUACUUCAAUUUAUAGAUCUCUGCAGCUUCAUUAAUCAAGCAAUUCCUUUUGCUGCAACAUUCUUCAUCCUUUUUGUAACACUUUUUUUAUCCUAUUAGCUAUAUACAAAAUUGAAUCACAUUAGGUGAGAGAUGGAAAAGGGAAAUAAAGAAAUAAAUCAACUAAAUAAGCUAAUAAGGUAAAAUAUAUCAAUUUGGUAGAAACAAAUCAACUGAAUAAGAAAGUUGGAGUUGAAAGAAGAACACGAACCUUCGAUUGGAAGCUGAAAAACCAAAUUAGGGUUCAUCUAGGUCACGUUCUGUUUCGAUUGUAAGUUUAAUGCCAGAUUCGAGAUUUGGGAUUAGGGUUCGACGAUUAAAAGACUCGAAGCAUGCAGAAAGAGGAGGAAACAUGUUCUUAGGGGAAACUGAGAAUCGUGACUCACGAAGAAG